AGAGAAGAAUGAGAGAGAGAGAUGGAAACGCAGGGAGAUGAGAGAAGAGGGAAGGGAGGGAGGUGGAUCUCGGAGAAACGUGUUGCUCAAUAGUGUGUCUGUCUUCAAUGAAGAAACACUGAAAUAACAAGUUUCACCAGUUUCAGAUCACUAACAGCGUUGACUGCAUUAUAUAGAGACACAGACGAUUUGCUCCUCGAGUCGAGACAUGGAGAGGACAGAGAAUAAAGAGUCCACCAUCUCCCCACAAAAACAAACAGUGAAAAACAGAUCCAAGUCAACUGAAGAAGUGCAGCAAGCCAAAAAGGCCUUUCAUACACCACAAAAAUCUCUGCCGGCCAAACCAGAGACCGAACAACUAGAGGAGACGGCAGAACUGAGUGCCUCAUCACAGGAGUUUAAAUGAUUGCCGGAUUCAAACUUCUGAGCGCUGAGAUUUAGAGAGAUCGACUGGGAUUAUGGGUCAAAAACAAGAGGAUGAUUCAAUGUCUUUAUUCAUGGAUUUGUGAUUCCGUUUAGCUAGCAUAGUAGAAAAGGAAUAAAAUAAUUAUGUGUAACUUCUUGACUUUGUAUUAGUAUUAUGUUAGUGAAAUAAAUGCAGAACUAGAUAUAACACA
Molecule: long non-coding RNA, 617 nt
Organism: Danio rerio (zebrafish)
Lineage: Eukaryota; Metazoa; Chordata; Actinopteri; Cypriniformes; Danionidae
Product: zgc:194629
Source: RefSeq, marked validated